This 468-nucleotide ribosomal RNA is filed under the name uncultured bacterium. RNAcentral describes it as "partial 16S ribosomal RNA". It matches the Rfam family "Bacterial small subunit ribosomal RNA", at positions 28 to 507 of the family's 1533-position model. The record is from RNAcentral.
GACGAACGCUGGCGGCGUGCUUAACACAUGCAAGUCGAACGGAAAGGCCCUGCUUUUGUGGGGUGCUCGAGUGGCGAACGGGUGAGUAACACGUGAGUAACCUGCCCUUGACGUUGGGAUAACUUCAGGAAACUGGGGCUAAUACCGGAUAGGAGCUCCUGCUGCAUGGUGGGGGUUGGAAAGUUUCGGCGGUUGGGGAUGGACUCGCGGCUUAUCAGCUUGUUGGUGGGGUAGUGGCUUACCAAGGCUUUGACGGGUAGCCGGCCUGAGAGGGUGACCAGCCACAUUAGGACUGAGAGACGCCCCAGUCUCCUACGGUAGGCAGCAGUGGAGAAUAUUGCACAAUGGGCGCAAGCCUGAUGCGGCGGCGCCGCGUGCGUGAUGACGGCCUUCGGGUUGUAAACCGCUUUCGCCUGUGACGAAGCGUGAGUGACGGUAAUGAGUAAAGAAGCACCGGCUAACUACGUG